GACGAACGCUGGCGGCAUGCCUAAUACAUGCAAGUCGAACGCUGAAGCACUCUGCUUGCAGAGUGCGGAUGAGUGGCGAACGGGUGAGUAACACGUGGGAAAUCUGCCUAUAAGAGGGGGAUAACAUUCGGAAACGGAUGCUAAUACCGCAUAUAUUCUUGGACCGCCUGGUCCUUGAAAGAAAGACGGCUUUGCUGUCGCUUAUAGAUGAUCCCGCGGCGUAUUAGUUAGUUGGUGGGGUAAAGGCCUACCAAGACAAUGAUACGUAGCCGACCUGAGAGGGUGAUCGGCCACACUGGGGCUGAGACACGGCCCAGAAUCCUACGGGAGGCAGCAGUAGGGAAUCUUCCACAAUGGGCGAAAGCCUGAUGGAGCAAUGCCGCGUGAAUGAAGAAGGUCUUCGGAUCGUAAAGUUCUGUUAUUAGAGAAGAACAAGUCAAGGAGUAACUGUCUUGACUUUGACGGUACCUAACCAGAAAGUCACGGCUAACUACGUG
This 497-nucleotide ribosomal RNA is filed under the name uncultured bacterium. RNAcentral's name for it is "partial 16S ribosomal RNA". It matches the Rfam family "Bacterial small subunit ribosomal RNA", at positions 28 to 507 of the family's 1533-position model. The record is from RNAcentral.